Molecule: ribosomal RNA, 550 nt
Filed under: uncultured bacterium
Lineage: Bacteria
Description: bacterial SSU rRNA
Rfam family: Bacterial small subunit ribosomal RNA
Source: RNAcentral
UAGGGAAUCUUCGGCAAUGGACGGAAGUCUGACCGAGCAACGCCGCGUGAGUGAAGAAGGUUUUCGGAUCGUAAAGCUCUGUUGUAAGAGAAGAACGAGUGUGAGAGUGGAAAGUUCACACUGUGACGGUAUCUUACCAGAAAGGGACGGCUAACUACGUGCCAGCAGCCGCGGUAAUACGUAGGUCCCGAGCGUUGUCCGGAUUUAUUGGGCGUAAAGCGAGCGCAGGCGGUUAGAUAAGUCUGAAGUUAAAGGCUGUGGCUUAACCAUAGUACGCUUUGGAAACUGUUUAACUUGAGUGCAAGAGGGGAGAGUGGGAUUCCAUGUGUAGCGGUGAAAUGCGUAGAUAUAUGGAGGAACACCGGUGGCGAAAGCGGCUCUCUGGCUUGUAACUGACGCUGAGGCUCGAAAGCGUGGGGAGCAAACAGGAUUAGAUACCCUGGUAGUCCACGCCGUAAACGAUGAGUGCUAGGUGUUAGACCCUUUCCGAGGUUUAGUGCCGCAGCUAACGCAUUAAGCACUCCGCCUGGGGAGUACGACCGCAAGGUUG